This 107-nucleotide microRNA precursor is filed under the name Callithrix jacchus (white-tufted-ear marmoset). Its description in RNAcentral is "microRNA cja-mir-448 precursor". Its record names the gene cja-mir-448. It matches the Rfam family "mir-448 microRNA precursor family". The record is from miRBase by way of RNAcentral. Lineage: Eukaryota; Metazoa; Chordata; Mammalia; Primates; Cebidae.
UGGGCGGGGAGGUUGAACAUCCUGCAUAGUGCUGCCAGGAAAUCCCUAUUUCAUACUAAGAGGGGGCUGGCUGGUUGCAUAUGUAGGAUGUCCCAUCUCCCAGCCCA